AGCGAACGCUGGCGGCAGGCCUAACACAUGCAAGUCGAACGAAGCCUUCGGGCUUAGUGGCGGACGGGUGAGUAACACGUGGGAACGUACCUUUUGGUUCGGAACAACUCAGGGAAACUUGAGCUAAUACCGGAUGAGCCCUUAGGGGGAAAGAUUUAUCGCCGAAAGAGCGGCCCGCGUUAGAUUAGCUAGUUGGUGAGGUAAAGGCUCACCAAGGCAACGAUCUAUAGCUGGUCUGAGAGGAUGAUCAGCCACACUGGGACUGAGGCACGGCCCAGACUCCUACGGGAGGCAGCAGUGGGGAAUCUUGCGCAAUGGGCGAAAGCCUGACGCAGCCAUGCCGCGUGAAUGAUGAAGGUCUUAGGAUUGUAAAAUUCUUUUACCAGGGACGAUAAUGACGGUACCUGGAGAAAAAGCCCCGGCUAACUUCGUGCCAGCCGCCGCCGUAA
RNAcentral lists this ribosomal RNA (449 nucleotides) under uncultured bacterium. Its description in RNAcentral is "partial 16S ribosomal RNA". It matches the Rfam family "Bacterial small subunit ribosomal RNA", at positions 29 to 523 of the family's 1533-position model. The record is from RNAcentral.